ACCGCGCAUGACCCAAUAGAAUCACGGGAGUGAAGCUUACCCUUAUUUGGAAGUUUGCGGCCUGUCAUCGGCUGCCGUGUGCUCUUGGCGCGUCGAAUUUGCACAUUCAAGCGUCCCUGCGAAAGGCCGAUUAGCAACUUGCGCUAUCGUUCCGAGUGUGACGCACUAGCGGCCGCUUUUCCUUCGCCGGCGGUCUCAUUCGGUCGCUUCUUGGGCAAGUCAUGCCGCAUACUUGGACCUGUAUUGAGAUGGCUUGCUGCCCAUCAACCUCGAUUCAUCUGUGCGACGUGGCUGGUUCAACAAUCUCCGCCAUCAAGCACAAAAGCUUCCUGUAUGAAGCCGCGUCAGCAAGCACUCGGCUGGCCGUAUCUAACCAAUAGAAACUCCAAGAAACCAAGAAACUCUGCGCACUGCGAAAAAGAAGCCUCCUGAAGUUCUCUCGACGGCGUGACCUCAACCCUCGCAAGUUCCAGUUCUCCGUCCUCGAAGUCAGUGUGUCAUUCAGCUGAUCCAGGGUGAUGCAGGCCUCGUCACACAUCCGUCUCA
Non-coding RNA from Dermacentor albipictus, 546 nucleotides. The record is from RefSeq and is a predicted model, not a curated record. Lineage: Eukaryota; Metazoa; Arthropoda; Arachnida; Ixodida; Ixodidae.